Molecule: transfer RNA, 86 nt
Filed under: Dethiobacter sp.
Lineage: Bacteria; Bacillati; Bacillota; Dethiobacteria; Dethiobacterales; Dethiobacteraceae
Description: tRNA-Leu
Rfam family: tRNA
About the family: Transfer RNA (tRNA) molecules are approximately 80 nucleotides in length. Their secondary structure includes four short double-helical elements and three loops (D, anti-codon, and T loops). Further hydrogen bonds mediate the characteristic L-shaped molecular structure. tRNAs have two regions of fundamental functional importance: the anti-codon, which is responsible for specific mRNA codon recognition, and the 3' end, to which the tRNAs corresponding amino acid is attached (by aminoacyl-tRNA synthetases). tRNAs cope with the degeneracy of the genetic code in two manners: having more than one tRNA (with a specific anti-codon) for a particular amino acid; and 'wobble' base-pairing, i.e. permitting non-standard base-pairing at the 3rd anti-codon position.
Source: RNAcentral
GCGGGCGUGGCGAAAUUGGCACACGCGCUAGACUUAGGAUCUAGUGGGUUUAUCCCUUGGGGGUUCAAGUCCCUCCGCCCGCACCA